GACGAACGCUGGCGGCGUGCUUAACACAUGCAAGUCGAACGCUGAAGCACCAGCUUGCUGGUGUGGAUGAGUGGCGAACGGGUGAGUAAUACGUGAGUAACCUGCCCUUGACUCUGGGAUAAGCCCGGGAAACUGGGUCUAAUACUGGAUGCUACAUGUCACCGCAUGGUGGUGUGUGGAAAGGGUUUACUGAUCUUGGAUGGGCUCACGGCCUAUCAGCUUGUUGGUGAGGUAAUGGCUCACCAAGGCGACGACGGGUAGCCGGCCUGAGAGGGUGACCGGCCACACUGGGACUGAGACACGGCCCAGACUCCUACGGGAGGCAGCAGUGGGGAAUAUUGCACAAUGGGCGAAAGCCUGAUGCAGCGACGCCGCGUGAGGGAUGACGGCCUUCGGGUUGUAAACCUCUUUCAGCAGGGAAGAAGCCACAAGUGACGGUACCUGCAGAAGAAGCGCCGGCUAACUACGUG
This 470-nucleotide ribosomal RNA is filed under the name uncultured bacterium. RNAcentral's name for it is "partial 16S ribosomal RNA". It matches the Rfam family "Bacterial small subunit ribosomal RNA", at positions 28 to 507 of the family's 1533-position model. The record is from RNAcentral.